Molecule: long non-coding RNA, 325 nt
Filed under: Gossypium raimondii (Peruvian cotton)
Lineage: Eukaryota; Viridiplantae; Streptophyta; Magnoliopsida; Malvales; Malvaceae
Description: long non-coding RNA (GRAI_LNC008202)
Source: RNAcentral
UCGCCAUCACUUCGUGCAGCUCGACGAUGUUGGGGUGUUUCACCAUUUUCAUGACGGAGAUCUCUCGCUUGAUCUGCUCCAUCAUCCCGACUUGGAUCACUUUCUCUUUGCCCACCACUUUCAUGGCGACACUCUUCCCUGUUUGAAGGUUCUUCGCAUGGUAGACUUUGGCGAAGGUUCCAUGACCCAACAUACGGCCAAGCUCGUAUUUUCCAUGGAGUAAAGAUGGGUUUUCGGUUUUAGCUUUGUCCGCCAUUUUUGAACCGUAAAAGCUCGAGAAAUUAAAAAGAAAAAUAAGAAAAGAAACGGAUACCCUUUGAUCUGA